AUUGAACACUGGCGGCAUGCCUUACACAUGCAAGUCGAACGGUAACGGGCCUUCGGGUGCCGACGAGUGGCGAACGGGUGAGUAAUACAUCGGAACGUGCCCGAUCGUGGGGGAUAACGAGGCGAAAGCUUUGCUAAUACCGCAUACGAUCUACGGAUGAAAGCAGGGGACCGCAAGGCCUUGCGCGGGCGGAGCGGCCGAUGGCAGAUUAGGUAGUUGGUGGGAUAAAAGCUUACCAAGCCGACGAUCUGUAGCUGGUCUGAGAGGAUGAUCAGCCACACUGGGACUGAGACACGGCCCAGACUCCUACGGGAGGCAGCAGUGGGGAAUUUUGGACAAUGGGCGCAAGCCUGAUCCAGCCAUGCCGCGUGCAGGAUGAAGGCCUUCGGGUUGUAAACUGCUUUUGUACGGAACGAAAAGCCUUCUUUUAAUACAGGAGGGUCAUGACGGUACCGUAAGAAUAAGCACCGGCUAACUACGUG
This 482-nucleotide ribosomal RNA is filed under the name uncultured bacterium. RNAcentral's name for it is "partial 16S ribosomal RNA". It matches the Rfam family "Bacterial small subunit ribosomal RNA", at positions 30 to 507 of the family's 1533-position model. The record is from RNAcentral.